RNAcentral lists this ribosomal RNA (468 nucleotides) under uncultured bacterium. RNAcentral describes it as "partial 16S ribosomal RNA". It matches the Rfam family "Bacterial small subunit ribosomal RNA", at positions 28 to 507 of the family's 1533-position model. The record is from RNAcentral.
GACGAACGCUGGCGGCGUGCUUAACGCAUGCAAGUCGAACGGAAAGGCCCUGCUUUUGUGGGGUGCUCGAGUGGCGAACGGGUGAGUAACACGUGAGUAACCUGCCCUUGACUUUGGGAUAACUUCAGGAAACUGGGGCUAAUACCGGAUAGGAGCUCCUGCUGCAUGGUGGGGGUUGGAAAGUUUCGGCGGUUGGGGAUGGACUCGCGGCUUAUCAGCUUGUUGGUGGGGUAGUGGCUUACCAAGGCUUUGACGGGUAGCCGGCCUGAGAGGGUGACCGGCCAAAUUGGGACUGAGAUACGGCCCAGACUCCUACGGGAGGCAGCAGUGGGGAAUAUUGCACAAUGGGCGGAAGCCUGAUGCAGCAACGCCGCGUGCGGGAUGACGGCCUUCGGGUUGUAAACCGCUUUCGCCUGUGACGAAGCGUGAGUGACGGUAAUGGGUAAAGAAGCACCGGCUAACUACGUG